Scylla paramamosain (green mud crab) is the source of this 1894-nucleotide RNA transcript. It is a transcript of the gene named major facilitator superfamily domain-containing protein 10-like, with no coding region annotated. The record is from RefSeq and is a predicted model, not a curated record. The transcript is spliced from 3 exons. Lineage: Eukaryota; Metazoa; Arthropoda; Malacostraca; Decapoda; Portunidae.
GUGUGUGUGUGUGUGUGUGUGUGUGUGUGUGUGUGUGUGUGUGUGUCUCAUUUAUUUUUUUUAUUAUGUAUAUUUUUUUUGUUUUUGUAUAAUUUUUGCUUAUUUUUUUUUUCCUUUCAUUUUUUCUUUCUUUGCUUAUUUUGUAAUUUGUUUGUAUUUCCUUGUGUCUCUGAAUGUUGUUAAAGAGAGGUGCAUUGUGAGUAAAGCAUCAUUUUCUCUUUCCUUUCCUCAUUUCUUUACUUUUUCCUCUUAUUCCUUCCUUUCUGUCAUCAUUACAAACCCUUUCUAUUCAUUACAAACCCUUUCUCUCAUUUUCCUUACCAUAAACCAUCAAAACAUCUUAACAAUCUCAUUUAAAUCACUUUUCUUUUCAUUAUCAUCUGUUUGUUUACAUUCUCUUGCUUUCUUUCACUUAUUAAUUCAUUACACUCCUGUUUGUGUGUUUAGGAAUGUUUUGAGAUAUUUUGGGGUGUUUUGGAGGUGUUUUGGGGUGUUUUUUCAAGUGUUUUGAGGUAAAUUGUCUGUUUUUGGGUAUAUUUGUCUGUUUUUGUCUGUUUUUUGGGUAUUAUUGGGGUUUUGGAGGUGUUUUGGGGGUGUUUUUGCAUGUGUUUUGAGGUAAAUUGUCUUUUUUGGGUAUUUUUUGGGUUUUGGAGAUGUUUUGGGGGUGAUUUUGCAAGUGUUUUGAGGUAAAUUGUCUUUUUUGGGUAUUAUUGGGGUUUUGGAGGUGUUUUUUCAAGUGUUUUGAGGUAAAUUGUCUUUUUUUGGGUAUUAUUGGGGUUUUGGAGGUGUUUUGGGGGUGUUUUUUCAAGUGUUUUGAGGUAAAUUGUCUGUUUUUGGAUGUUUAAUGGUGUUUUUGGAGUGUUUUGCAAGUUUUUGAGGUAAAUAGUGUGUUUUGGGGUGUUUAAUGGUGUUUUGAGAGUGUUUUGCAAGUGUUUUGAGGUAAAUAGUGUGUUUUGGGGUGUUUAAUUUUGUUUUGGGAGUGUUUUGCAAGUGUUUUGAGGUAAAUAGUUUGUUUUGGGGUGUUUAAUGGUGUCUUGGUGGUGUUUCAGGGUUAUAUAGGGGUGUUUGGGGGUGAUCUAGGGUAAGUAGUGUUAUCAAGGCUGUAGUGGAAGUUACUGUGGGUUUUCAAAGGGUGUUUCCAUGGUGAUUCACUUGUAUUUUAUCCCUUGUACAGUAAAACUCCCUUUCCCUGAGUUGGCAACACUGUUUGUUUACGUUCGCUGUUGUCUCGUCGUGUGUGAGUCAGAUUUGUGUCUUGUUCUUCCACUGCAGGGCAGAAGGAGGAGGGACAUCGGUGCCAGUUUGACCGAGGCUUGGGAGGUGAUCAAUCCUAGGGCUCUGUUCUCCGUCAGCUGUGUCAAGGGCCUGGGCAGAGAAGCCUGGAGUUAACGCUGAUCUUCGCGACCCACCACAAGCAUAGUUACGACUCGUUGGCGCAGGACCGCAAGUUUUCCUUCCUGGGCCUGGUCAUGGCAGUUACACAGAGAGGGUUUAUGCGAAGUGUUAAGACUGGAACUGAAAAAGCAACUGCCAAUUAGGCACACACCUACAUUGUGAUGCAGCUCCUUGGAGGUGGAGAGCUGGCUGCCUCAGAGGAUCAGGAAACACGAGAGGUUCACAGAGGCUCGCCUCGGGCUUCGGUCGUCGUGAGGAACCUGGUGUCAGCAGUUCACUACGUGCACAGGAAAAGCAUCAGUGUUCACGGAGACCUAAAGCCAGACAGGGGUGAAAAGGGUUGGUGUUGAGGAUAGACAGAAAAGAAAAGAAAGGAAAGGUAAAAAAAGGAAGUUUUUUUGCAUUGAUUUUCCAUCUGCUUAUUUUAAAGAAUUUAUUGCAUGGAAUAUUAUUGAUCUCCAUCAUUUGUAUGGCCUUUAUAAUAAAAAGUAUGAAUUUA